This 224-nucleotide long non-coding RNA is filed under the name Nicotiana benthamiana. Its description in RNAcentral is "long non-coding RNA (NBEN_LNC027924)". The record is from RNAcentral. Lineage: Eukaryota; Viridiplantae; Streptophyta; Magnoliopsida; Solanales; Solanaceae.
UUAGAGCGACUAAAAGAACUCUCUCAUUAGAAAAACAAACUAACCUGCUUGUCCUAAAAAGUUAUUGACUAUUUUUUCUAUUUCUAUCAUCCGGACACAUUGCAGAAUGUGAAGUGUCAAUCCUGGUUGAAAGAAGUUCCAAUCUAGUCCUCAAACGCCACACUAAAACACCCGGCUAAAAAAACAAGCGUACAUCAUCACUGCACAAUACAAAAAUGUGAAAU